GACUCAAAAAUAAAAAUUAAAAAAUGAGCGCGCGGCGCGAGGACCCGGACGCGCGGAGCCAUCGUCGCGAGGACCAUGCUGCUUCCGAACAUCCUGCUCACCGGUACACCAGGGGUUGGAAAAACCACACUAGGCAAAGAACUUGCAUCAAGAUCAGGACUGAAAUACAUUAAUGUGGGUGAUUUAGCUCGAGAAGUCUGAUCACCGGAUAUCAUGGAGUCUGGCAAGAUGGCUUCUCCCAAGAGCAUGCCGAAAGAUGCACAGAUGAUGGCACAAAUCCUGAAGGAUAUGGGGAUUACAGAAUAUGAGCCAAGAGUUAUAAAUCAGAUGUUGGAGUUUGCCUUCCGAUAUGUGACCACAAUUCUAGAUGAUGCAAAAGUUUAUUCAAGCCAUGCUAAGAAAGCUACUGUCGAUGCAGAUGAUGUGCGAUUGGCAAUCCAGUGUCGUGCUGACCAGUCUUUUACCUCCCCUCCUCCAAGAGAUUUUUUAUUAGACAUUGCAAGGCAAAGAAAUCAAACCCCUUUGCCAUUGAUCAGCCAUAUUCAGGUCCUAGAUUGCCACCUGAUAGGUAUUGCUUAACAGCUCCAAACUACAGGCUUAAGUCUUUACAGAAGAAGGCAUCUACUUCUGCGGGCAGAAUAACAGUCCCACGGUUAAGUGUCGGUUCCGUUACCAGCAGACCGAGCACUCCCACACUGGGCACACCAACCCCACAAACCAUGUCUGUCUCAACUAAGGUGGGGACUCCAAUGUCCCUCACAGGACAAAGGUUUACAGUACAGAUGCCUACUUCACAGUCCCCAGCUGUAAAAGCGUCAGUUCCUGCAACAUCAGCAGUUCAGAAUGUGCUGAUUAAUCCCUCUUUAAUUGGGCCCAAAAACAUUCUUAUUACCACUAACAUGGUGUCACCACAAAAUGCUGCCAGUGAAUCGUCAAACGCAUUGAAAAGAAAACAUGAAGACGUCGACGACGACGACGAUGACGACGACGGUGACAACCUGUAAUCCAGCCUUCAUGCGUGUAACGUGUACAUGUGGCCUCGAACUCACUGUAUUAAAAUUGAACAUGCAUGCUGGGUGUUUUCAAGUUGGGUUUCAGAAAAGUUAAAUUUGAUAUUUAAUGAGUGAAUAUAGUUCCCAAACUUUUCAGCUAAAACGCUGGAUUUUCUUUAAUGGGAUUAGUAGUGGUUUUUCAUCAUCCUUUAAGUGUGAAAAAAUAAAGCUGUCAUUUAUCAAUUUGAAAAA
Molecule: RNA transcript, 1244 nt
Organism: Carlito syrichta (Philippine tarsier)
Lineage: Eukaryota; Metazoa; Chordata; Mammalia; Primates; Tarsiidae
Gene name: transcription initiation factor TFIID subunit 9-like
Exons: 1
Source: RefSeq, a predicted model, not a curated record